Molecule: ribosomal RNA, 551 nt
Filed under: Orcinus orca (killer whale)
Lineage: Eukaryota; Metazoa; Chordata; Mammalia; Artiodactyla; Delphinidae
Description: partial 16S ribosomal RNA
Rfam family: Bacterial large subunit ribosomal RNA
Source: RNAcentral
CUCCCCGUGAAGAGGCGGGGAUAACACAAUAAGACGAGAAGACCCUAUGGAGCUUUAAUUAAUCAACUCAAAAAGCAUAAAAUAAUACCACCAAGGGAUAACAAAGCUUUACAUGAGCUGACAAUUUCGGUUGGGGUGACCUCGGAGCAUAAAAAACCCUCCGAGUGAUUAAAACUUAGGCCUACCAGCCAAAGUAUAACAUCACUUAUUGAUCCAAAAUUUUGAUCAACGGAACAAGUUACCCUAGGGAUAACAGCGCAAUCCUAUUCUAGAGUCCAUAUCGACAAUAGGGUUUACGACCUCGAUGUUGGAUCAGGACAUCCUAGUGGUGCAGCAGCUACUAAGGGUUCGUUUGUUCAACGAUUAAAGUCCUACGUGAUCUGAGUUCAGACCGGAGCAAUCCAGGUCGGUUUCUAUCUAUUACGCAUUUCUCCCGGUACGAAAGGACAAGAGAAAUAAGGCCAACUUUAAAAAGCGCCUUCAAACAAUUAGUGACCCAAUCUCAACCUAAUAAUCUAGCGCAAAUAUGCCCUGCCCAAGAUCAGGGCUUU